RNAcentral lists this ribosomal RNA (2522 nucleotides) under human metagenome. RNAcentral's name for it is "bacterial LSU rRNA". It matches the Rfam family "Bacterial large subunit ribosomal RNA", at positions 1 to 2278 of the family's 2925-position model. The record is from RNAcentral.
GUGUGUUGAUUUGAGCGUUCGGUGGAUGCCUUGGCAUCAGGGGCCGAUGAAGGACGUGGUGGCCUGCGAUAUUCCUCGGGGAGCCGGCUGGCGGGCUGUGAUCCGAGGGUUUCCGAAUGGGGGGACCCGGCACGAGUUAUGUCGUGUCACCUGCAUCUGAAUUGUAUAGGGUGUGGGGGGUGACGCGGGGAAGUGAAACAUCUUAGUACCCGUAGGAGAAGAUAUUCCGUGAGUAGUGGCGAGCGAAAGCGGAUGAUGGUUAAACCGUGUGCGUGUGAUACUCGGCAGGGGUUGCGUGUGCGGGGUUGUGGGGCUGUCCUGUUUUCUCUUCUGCCGGAGAGGGGGCGCGUGUGCUGGCUGGUAGCUGAAUCGUCUGGGAAGGCGUGGCGUAGUGGGUGAUACCCCCGUAGGCGGAACUGGUUGGUGCGUGUCUGGGACGGUUUGCCCGAGUAGCACGGGGCUCGUGGAAUCCUGUGUGAAUCUGCCAAGACCACUUGGCUGCCUGAAUACCUCCUGAUGACCGAUAGUGGAUGAGUACCGUGAGGGAAUGGUGAAAAGUACCCCGGGAGGGGAGUGAAAGAGUACCUGAAACCGUGUGCUUACAAGCCGUUAUAGCCCCCGUUGUGUGGGGUGGUGGCGUGCCUUUUGAAGAAUGAGCCUGCGAGUUAGUGUUUUGUCGCGAGGUUAACCCGUGUGGGGUAGUCGUAGCGAAAGCGAGUCUGAAUAGGGCGUUGUAGUGGCAGGAUCUAGACCCGAAGCGGAGUGAUCUAUCCAUGGCCAGGUUGAAGCACGUGUAAGAGCGUGUGGAGGACCGAACCCACCUAGGUUGAAAACUGGGGGGAUGAGCUGUGGGUAGGGGUGAAAGGCCAAUCAAACUCCGUGAUAGCUGGUUCUCCCCGAAAUGCAUUUAGGUGCAGCGUCGCGUGUUGCCCGGCGGAGGUAGAGCUACUGGGUGGCUGAUGGGCCCCACAGGGUUACUGACGUCAACCAAACUCCGAAUGCCGUCUGGGUUGAGUGCGGCAGUGAGACUGCGGGGGAUAAGCUCCGUGGUCGAGAGGGAAACAGCCCGGAUCGCCGGCUAAGGCCCCUAAGCGUGUGCUAAGUGGGAAAGGAUGUGCGGUCGCGCAGACAACCAGGAGGUUGGCUUAGAAGCAGCCAUCCUUGAAAGAGUGCGUAAUAGCUCACUGGUCGAGUGGUCGUGCGCCGACAAUGUAGCGGGGCUCAAGCACACCGCCGAAGCCGCGGACCCCCAACAUAGUCCCUUCAGGCCGGUUGUUACCGGUUUGGCAGGGGUUGGGGGUGGUAGGGGAGCGUCCUGCACUGGGUGAAGCCUGGGGGUGACCCACGGGUGGACGGUGCGGGAGUGAGAAUGCAGGCAUGAGUAGCGAUGACUAGGGUGAGAAGCCCUAGCGCCGAGAGACCAAGGGUUCCAGGGCCAGGCUAGUCCGCCCUGGGUGAGUCGGGACCUAAGGCGAGGCCGACAGGCGUAGUCGAUGGAUGACGGGUUGAUAUUCCCGUACCGGCGAAGCACCGCCCAUGCUGACGCGCGGGUGCUAACCCACGCCCAACCAUCAUGUUGGCCGCGCCUACUCCUUUCGGGGGGUGGUGUGGUUGUGGUGGUGGGGUCUGGGGACCCUCCGUGCAGGUAGGCAAGCGUGUUAACAGGGGUGACGCACAGUGGUAGCCCGGCGGACCUGAUGGCUUGGUCCGUUCAAGCGCGCAGCCCGUCCUCCAGGCAAAUCCGGAGUGACUGCCUCCUUGAGAGGUGAGGGUGAGGCGUGAUGGUGACCUCACACUGGUGGGGGAUAACAGGGUGAUCCUGGGGUGCCGAGAAAAGCCUCGACGCGAUGGUGCCAGCCGCCCGUACCCUAAACCGACACAGGUGGUCGGGCAGAGUAUGCCUAGGCGCACGAGUGAAUCAUGGUUAAGGAACUCGGCAAAAUGCCCCCGUAACUUCGGGAGAAGGGGGGCCUGAGCUUUGAAGCCCCUUCGCGGGCUAGGAGCAAGGGUCGCAGAGAACAGGGGGGAGCGACUGUUUACUAAAAACACAGGUCCGUGCGAAGCCGUAAGGCGAUGUAUACGGACUGACGCCUGCCCGGUGCUGGAAGGUUAAGAGGAACCAUCAACCCCCUCCUUUGUGGGGUGAAGUGGUGAAUUUAAGCCCCAGUAAACGGCGGUGGUAACUAUAACCAUCCUAAGGUAGCGAAAUUCCUUGUCGGGUAAGUUCCGACCUGCACGAAUGGCGUAACGACUUCCCCACUGUCUCCACCACGGGCUCGGCGAAAUUGCAUUACGAGUAAAGAUGCUCGUUACGCGCAGAAGGACGGAAAGACCCCGGGACCUUUACUAUAGCUUGGUAUUGGCGUCCGCCAUGGUUUGUGCAGGAUAGGUGGGAGACUGUGAGACCGCCACGCUAGUGGUGGUGGAGUCAUUGUUGAGAUACCACUCUGGCUGUGGCGUGCGCCUGAACCUCGGCCCGUGAUCCGGGUCAGGGACAGUGCCUGGUGGGUAGUUUAACUGGG